RNAcentral lists this non-coding RNA (28 nucleotides) under Bombyx mori (domestic silkworm). Lineage: Eukaryota; Metazoa; Arthropoda; Insecta; Lepidoptera; Bombycidae. The record is from RNAcentral.
UAGUUCAAAUAAAUCAGAUGCCACAAUC